GCCAGCAUGGCAUAGUGGUUUGAGUGUUGGACUGUGGCUCUGGAGACCAGGGUUCGAAUCCCAGCUUGACU
RNAcentral lists this transfer RNA (71 nucleotides) under Phrynosoma platyrhinos (Desert horned lizard). Its description in RNAcentral is "tRNA-OTHER". The record is from RNAcentral. Lineage: Eukaryota; Metazoa; Chordata; Lepidosauria; Squamata; Phrynosomatidae.